GAAGGCAAGCGGAUCUCUUAAAGCCGUUCUCAGUUCGGACUGUAGGCUGCAACUCGCCUACACGAAGCUGGAAUCGCUAGUAAUCGCGGAUCAGCACGCCGCGGUGAAUACGUUCCCGGGCCUUGUACACACCGCCCGUCACACCAUGAGAGUCUGUAACACCCAAAGCCGGUGGGAUAACCUUUAUAGGAGUCAGCCGUCUAAGGUAGGACAGAUGAUUAGGGUGAAGUCGUAACAAGGUACC
Molecule: ribosomal RNA, 244 nt
Filed under: uncultured bacterium
Lineage: Bacteria
Description: partial 16S ribosomal RNA
Rfam family: Bacterial small subunit ribosomal RNA
Source: RNAcentral